UGGGGAAUUUUGGACAAUGGGGGAAACCCUGAUCCAGCCAUUCCGCGUGAGUGAAGAAGGCCUUCGGUUGUAAAGCUCUUUCAGCAGGAACGAAACGGUGCGCUCUAACAUAGCGUGCUAAUGACGGUACCUGCAGAAGAAGCACCGGCUAACUACGUGCCAGCAGCCGCGGUAAUACGUAGGGUGCGAGCGUUAAUCGGAAUUACUGGGCGUAAAGCGUGCGCAGGCGGAUUGUUAAGCAAGAUGUGAAAUCCCCGGGCUUAACCUGGGAAUGGCAUUUUUGAACUGGCAGUCUAGAGUGUGUCAGAGGGGGGUGGAAUUCCACGUGUAGCAGUGAAAUGCGUAGAUAUGUGGAGGAACACCAAUGGCGAAGGCAGCCCCCCUGGGAUAACACUGACGCUCAUGUACGAAAGCGUGGGUAGCAAACAGGAUUAGAUACCCUGGUAAUCCACGCCCUAAACGAUGUCAACUGGUUGUUGGGGGAGUGAAAUCCCUUAGACGAAG
This 504-nucleotide ribosomal RNA is filed under the name uncultured Pseudomonadota bacterium. RNAcentral's name for it is "bacterial SSU rRNA". It matches the Rfam family "Bacterial small subunit ribosomal RNA", at positions 355 to 851 of the family's 1533-position model. The record is from RNAcentral. Lineage: Bacteria; Pseudomonadati; Pseudomonadota.